CAACAAUAUCACGUUGAAACACCGGUUCUCGUACGAUCACCGAAGUUAAGCAACGUCGAAUCCGGUCAGUACCUAGAAGGGUGAUAGCUUGGGCAUACCAGGUGAUGUAAG
Acanthosepion pharaonis is the source of this 111-nucleotide non-coding RNA. Lineage: Eukaryota; Metazoa; Mollusca; Cephalopoda; Sepiida; Sepiidae. The record is from the annotation of a GenBank genome assembly.